RNAcentral lists this ribosomal RNA (254 nucleotides) under uncultured bacterium. RNAcentral describes it as "partial 16S ribosomal RNA". It matches the Rfam family "Bacterial small subunit ribosomal RNA", at positions 524 to 776 of the family's 1533-position model. The record is from RNAcentral.
UACAGAGGUGGCAAGCGUUGUUCGGAAUUACUGGGCGUAAAGGGCGCGUAGGCGGUCUUGUAAGUCCUGUGUGAAAUCCCUCGGCUCAACUGAGGAACUGCACGGGAUACUGCGAGACUUGAGUUCGGGAGAGGGAAGCGGAGUUCCGGGUGUAGCGGUGAAAUGCGUAGAUAUCCGGAGGAACACCGGUGGCGAAGGCGGCUUCCUGGACCGAUUACUGACGCUGAGGCGCGAAAGCUAGGGGAGCAAACGGG